UUCAAAUUAGAGCUUGUAUAAGUAUUUUAUUUACACUAAAGAGAAAAUUAUUAAUUUAAUUUAAUUU
RNAcentral lists this transfer RNA (67 nucleotides) under Orthrius sepulcralis. RNAcentral describes it as "tRNA-Val". Lineage: Eukaryota; Metazoa; Arthropoda; Insecta; Coleoptera; Cleridae. The record is from RNAcentral.